This 394-nucleotide ribosomal RNA is filed under the name uncultured Strobilidiidae. Its description in RNAcentral is "partial small subunit ribosomal RNA". It matches the Rfam family "Eukaryotic small subunit ribosomal RNA", at positions 31 to 427 of the family's 1831-position model. The record is from RNAcentral. Lineage: Eukaryota; Ciliophora; Spirotrichea; Choreotrichida; Strobilidiidae.
CUUGUCUCAAAGAUUAAGCCAUGCAUGUCUAAGUAUAAACAACUUUAUACUGUAAAACUGCGAACGGCUCAUUAUAUCAGCAAUUAUUUAUUUGAUGGUCUCUUACUACAUGGAUAACUGUGGUAAUUCUAGAGCUAAUACAUGCUGUAAGCCCGACUUUUCGGAAGGGCCGUAUUUAUUAGAUAACAGACCAAUGCCCCCCCGGGCUUUGUGGUGACUCAUAGUAACUAAUCGGAUCGCAUGGGCCUGUCCCGCGACAAACCAUUCAAGUUUCUGCCCCAUCAGCUUUCGAUGGUAGUGUAUUGGACUACCAUGGCUUUUACGGGUAACGGAGGAUUAGGGUUCGAUUCCGGAGAGGGAGCCUGAGAAACGGCUACCACAUCUAAGGAAGGCA